CAGCAGCCGCGGGAAUGCGGAGGGGGCUAGCGUUAUUCGGAAUUACUGGGCGUAAAGCGCACGUAGGCGGCUUUGUAAGUUAGAGGUGAAAGCCUGGAGCUCAACUCCAGAAUUGCCUUUAAGACUGCAUCGCUCGAAUCCAGGAGAGGUGAGUGGAAUUCCGAGUGUAGAGGUGAAAUUCGUAGAUAUUCGGAAGAACACCAGUGGCGAAGGCGGCUCACUGGACUGGUAUUGACGCUGAGGUGCGAAAGCGUGGGGAGCAAACAGGAUUAGAUACCCCUGUAGUCCCUGUCUCUUAUAC
RNAcentral lists this ribosomal RNA (301 nucleotides) under uncultured bacterium. RNAcentral describes it as "partial 16S ribosomal RNA". It matches the Rfam family "Bacterial small subunit ribosomal RNA", at positions 509 to 807 of the family's 1533-position model. The record is from RNAcentral.